GAAACCCGGUCGCUAGAUCGAGUGGAGCCAUCCUUGAAAUACCACCCUUGUAUGUUUGAUGUUCUAACACUGACCCGUUAUCCGGGUCGUGGACAGUGUCUGGUGGGUAGUUUGACUGGGGCGGUCUCCUCCCAAAUAGUAACGGAGGAGCACGAAGGUUAGCUAAUCACGGUCGGACAUCGUGAGGUUAGUGCAAUGGCAUAAGCUAGCUUAACUGCGAGACAGACACGUCGAGCAGGUACGAAAGUAGGUCUUAGUGAUCCGGUGGUUCUGUAUG
RNAcentral lists this ribosomal RNA (277 nucleotides) under Striatella unipunctata. RNAcentral describes it as "partial Bacterial large subunit ribosomal RNA". It matches the Rfam family "Bacterial large subunit ribosomal RNA", at positions 2159 to 2435 of the family's 2925-position model. The record is from RNAcentral. Lineage: Eukaryota; Bacillariophyta; Striatellaphyceae; Striatellales; Striatellaceae.